CACGUAGGAGGCGAGCGUUGUCCGGAAUCAUUGGGCGUAAAGAGCGCGCAGGCGGCUUGGCAAGUCGGGUGUGAAAUCCCGGGGCUCAACCCCGGGACUGCAUUCGAUACUGUCAGGCUAGAGGUAGGUAGGGGGGAUCGGAAUUCCUGGUGUAGCGGUGAAAUGCGCAGAUAUCAGGAGGAACACCGGUGGCGAAGGCGGGUCUCUGGGCCGAUACUGACGCUGGAGGAGCGAAAGCGUGGGGAGCGAACA
This 252-nucleotide ribosomal RNA is filed under the name uncultured bacterium. Its description in RNAcentral is "partial 16S ribosomal RNA". It matches the Rfam family "Bacterial small subunit ribosomal RNA", at positions 524 to 774 of the family's 1533-position model. The record is from RNAcentral.